RNAcentral lists this ribosomal RNA (206 nucleotides) under uncultured bacterium. RNAcentral describes it as "partial 16S ribosomal RNA". It matches the Rfam family "Bacterial small subunit ribosomal RNA", at positions 1293 to 1500 of the family's 1533-position model. The record is from RNAcentral.
UCGGAUUGUAGGCUGCAACCGCCUACAUGAAGUUGGAAUUGCUAGUAAUCGCAGAUCAGAAUGCUGCGGUGAAUACGUUCCCGGGCCUUGUACACACCGCCCGUCACACCAUGGGAGCCGGUAAUACCCGAAGUCAGUAGUCUAACCGCAAGGGGACGCUGCCGAAGGUAGGAUUGGCGACUGGGGUGAAGUCGUAACAAGGUAGC